UUAAAUUGAAGAGUUUGAUCAUGGCUCAGAUUGAACGCUGGCGGCAGGCCUAACACAUGCAAGUCGAACGGUAACAGGAAACAGCUUGCUGUUUCGCUGACGAGUGGCGGACGGGUGAGUAAUGUCUGGGAAACUGCCUGAUGGAGGGGGAUAACUACUGGAAACGGUAGCUAAUACCGCAUAACGUCGCAAGACCAAAGAGGGGGACCUUCGGGCCUCUUGCCAUCGGAUGUGCCCAGAUGGGAUUAGCUAGUAGGUG
This 259-nucleotide ribosomal RNA is filed under the name Escherichia coli. RNAcentral's name for it is "partial 16S ribosomal RNA". It matches the Rfam family "Bacterial small subunit ribosomal RNA", at positions 1 to 254 of the family's 1533-position model. The record is from RNAcentral. Lineage: Bacteria; Pseudomonadati; Pseudomonadota; Gammaproteobacteria; Enterobacterales; Enterobacteriaceae.